Molecule: ribosomal RNA, 455 nt
Filed under: uncultured bacterium
Lineage: Bacteria
Description: bacterial SSU rRNA
Rfam family: Bacterial small subunit ribosomal RNA
Source: RNAcentral
UACGGAAGGCAGCAGUGGGGAAUAUUGCACAAUGGGCGCAAGCCUGAUGCAGCCAUGCCGCGUGUAUGAAGAAGGCCUUCGGGCUGUAAAGUACUUUCAGUCGUGAGGAAGGUGUUAAGGUUAAUAACCUUAGCAAUUGACGUUAGCGACAGAAGAAGCACCGGCUAACUCCGUGCCAGCAGCCGCGGUAAUACGGAGGGUGCGAGCGUUAAUCGGAAUUACUGGGCGUAAAGAGCACGCAGGCGGUUAAUUAAGUUGGAUGUGAAAUCCCCGGGCUUAACCUGGGAAUGGCAUUCAAGACUGGUUAGCUAGAGUCUUGUAGAGGGGGUAGAAUUCCAUGUGUAGCGGUGAAAUGCGUAGAGAUGUGGAGGAAUACCGGUGGCGAAGGCGGCCCCUGGGACAAAGACUGACGCUCAUGUGCGAAAGCGUGGGGAGCAAACAGGGAUUAGAUAACC